AUACUAAAGAGUAAACUCAAAGAAAGUAGAGGAAAAGAAUGAAUUAAAGAUCUGUGCUUAUAAAUAAAAAUAAAAGUAACAGAACAAAAAGAUGAGCAU
Unclassified non-coding RNA from Colobus angolensis palliatus, 99 nucleotides. NCBI's taxonomy places the organism in Eukaryota, Metazoa, Chordata, Mammalia, Primates, Cercopithecidae. The record is from Ensembl.